Molecule: long non-coding RNA, 2402 nt
Organism: Equus caballus (horse)
Lineage: Eukaryota; Metazoa; Chordata; Mammalia; Perissodactyla; Equidae
Source: RefSeq, a predicted model, not a curated record
CCUUCACGAGAAAGGAAAUUAGAAAAAUGAUGGAAGUCCCUUCUCUCCAGGGCCUCUUUUCCUCCCAAGGACACAAAACAUCUUCCCCAUCUCCGACUCACCUCUCCUCCUGGGGCAUCCCUCGGCGGAUGGCAAUGGCUGGGAAGUUCUGCUCCACCAGGCACUGGUUGGAGAUAUGCUCAUCCCCCUACUGGGCCUUGAACAACUGACCAGGUGGAACUCAAGGACAUCCAGAAGGUCAAAGAGCUUCCGGUUCUUCUCCUGAUCCUUCAGUUUCAUGUAGCACUGCUGCAACCCAUGCAGCCUCAGCUUCGUCUCAUCAUCCACGAAGAUCUCCAUUGGCAGGGUUUUAAGAUAGCCCAGCUGAAAACUGUCAUGGGAAGGGAACUUUGCAGGGAAGAAGAGGAGCAGUGAAACCACCCAAUGGCAAGAUGUAACAGAUAUGUCUGAAUCUCUCAGUGCAUCAGGCUCUGCUGCUACAGGUGUGAAUAAGGACAACACACCCCUUCCCUCAUAUCCUUUAUCCUCCCAUUUCCACAGUCCUCCACCGUCUCUCCUUCAGUCUAUAGGCUGCCUCAUCAAUUUCUGGAGAGGGAAGUACAGCUGGGCUGUCUUUUGCUCAAAACCUGAGCCGAGCCUAUUAUUCCUUUAGUGAUACAGUAGUUCUGCUCAUCUCAAGUCUCCACCUACAAUAUGAACCGCCCUCCCUGACUGUGAACUAGGAGAGACUGGUUUCUCUAGGUUUGAGGUGGGGAACUGAGAAGUCUGAUUCUCAGUGAUGUGGAACUGACACUUCUCCAAAUUUUCCCAAAUGUAUAAUGAAGAUCAACAACACUUCCCUAUAAAUCCCGUGGAGGUAAAAUAUCUAUCAAUGUUACAAUCCUACUUCUGAUUAUUUAUCCUACAGAUACAUCAUCAUGCCUAGAAAUCAUAGAGAAGAAUAUUAUGCAUUGCAGCACUAUUUUAAUAGAAAAAGGUGAAAUUACUCAAGUGUCAAUAAAUAGGGGACCAGUUAAAUCCAUCCACAUAGUAGAAUACCAUAAAGCUAUAAAAAAAGUAAAAGGGGAAAUUCUUCAAGUGUUGACAAAUAAGAUCGCCAAAUUCAAUUAUUAACAAAAAAUAAUCAAGUUGCAGAACUGUGUAUACUAUGCUAUAUUUUCUUUAAAAGGGGAACAAGAAUUUAUGUACACACACCAUAGGUGUACACACACCUAUGCACCUAUGUGCCUGGAAAGACAUCCAAGGACCUAGUGAUAAGAGUUCUCUAAGGGGAGAGCAGUAGGAACUGUGAGAAGGGGAGACCAUUUUGAAAAUAUUUUCACAGUAUGCUUUAGGUAGUUUUAAACUUCUGAAAAUUUGAAACUAUUAUCUAAUAAAAAUGAAAUAAAACAGCAAUAUAAAAACAACAGAGGAAAACUACACUGUAAGACAAGACUGCCCAGCUCUGGCAUAACAAUCUUCAACGGAAGCAUGUCGGGGUUGCUACUUACUCUCCUGUGACAAUUGCUGCUCUGCCCUGGGCUGCAGAUGGCACUUGGGGCCUGUCCACACAUCACCUGUGGGGAAACUGAUUUGCAUUCUAAUUCCCAAUCUUUAAAUGAAUAGAAUUACAUUAUUCUACUUCCCCAAUCAAGAAUCCACUUAUCAACAACUUGAAAGAUAUUUUCUAGAGCUAUUAUUCGCCCUCUUCUCAGUAUUGACUACUGAUUGGUUCUACAUGGAGUUUCUCCCUCUUGCUCCCAUUUAGACUUUUUCAUUCUAAGGUGAUUCAAUAGCUCUGUGCACAUCUUGCUCCAAUCCAAAUGCCCUCUGACAAGGCAGGGCUGAGUUAGCUCCCAAAUGAUGACAAGCACCUUGUCAGCCUCUUACCACAUCCGUUAUGCCCCACCCCCAUUUGUGGAGUGCAGGCAGUUUCUACUGUGAGACGAUAGAUAUUAGCAAGAGGGAGGUCCUCUCUGUGUUCCAGGUGCUCCAUUCUGCCCCCUCCCACAGAGGAUGGGGAUAAGGAGACACCGAGGGCAGCCAUGCACCAUCACACAGGAGCUCAGGACUUCAGUGUCUCUGGCCUUAACCAUGAAGAUCAAGUCUGAACUCAGAGGGGCGAAGACAUAGAAAAUGGAUGGUAUUGGGAGACCAUAGACACAGAGGACUCUCAGGAGUGUGUCUAAGGCUAAUGAAGGAUGAACUGAAGCAGGUUCAAGGGAGUCAGUCAACAGUUUUAUAGCAGCAUCAUCAACAGCAACAAUGAGCAAUAAGUGAACUCAAAAAAACAAACCAAAGAGAUCUCUUACACGGAAAGAGACUAACUAGUUUAGGAAAUUUGAAGAUAUACUCCACAGCUAUUUGUCUUGAUGACCCUGUAGAAUGUGACUUUAAUAAAAAUAAAAAUAUAUUCAGAUUCA